CAGGAAGGUCCGAGGCUUGGGGAGCAGCCGUUGGCUCUGGUGCCCCUGGGGGUGGGAGCACGAGUGGGCAAGGAUGAUGGUGAGGCAGAGGAGGCGGCCCCGACCCGGCGAGCUCGAGGGAGCGCCCGGCUGAGAGGCGGGGGGCCGAGGGGCCCGGGGAGCGGGCGCCACCGAGGGCCCUGGAAGCGGCAGGGCUUGGGGAGAGGAGACGCGUGUGUGGAGCGUGGGGACCCCAGCCCAGCUCCCACUUGCAGACCUGGGCCGCGGGCUGCCGGCCGAGUGGCCGGGGGGCCUGGCUGCCCAGGAGGCGGGCCGGGGCCGCGGCCGGGGGCGCGGAGCGGAGUUAGGGUCACCAGGCCGAGCAGAGGUGGGACGGACCGACGCAGAGAGGAAGGGAAGCCACCUGGCCUGAAGAUCCUGUCUCUAAGAUCCCAUUCUGAGGUCCACGCUGCUUUUAUGAGCUGUAACACUCACCACGAAGAUCUGCAACUUCACUCCUGAGCCCAGCGAGACCACGAGCCCACCGGGAGGAACAAACAACUCCAGACGCGCUGCCUUAAGAGCUGUAACACUCACCGUGAAGGUCUGCAGCUUCACUCCUGAGCCAGCGAGACCACGAACCCACCAGAAGGAAGAAACUCCGAACACAUCUGAACAUCAGAACGAACAGACUCCAGACGCACCACCUUAAGAGCUGUAACACUCACCGCGAGGUUCCGCGGCUUCAUUCUUGAAGUCAGUAAGACCAAGAACCCACCAAUUCUGGACACAGUAGCAUUUGGGAAUAAUAAGAAUUGUAGCUGGGCAUG
This 809-nucleotide long non-coding RNA is filed under the name Pan troglodytes (chimpanzee). Its description in RNAcentral is "long non-coding RNA NONPTRT006685". The record is from RNAcentral. Lineage: Eukaryota; Metazoa; Chordata; Mammalia; Primates; Hominidae.